CCAAUAGCGUAUAUUAAAGUUGUUGCAGUUAAAAAGCUCGUAGUUGAAUUUCGGGAUCAAUAUUUCGGUCAUGCCGUUGGUAUGCACUGUUAUCAUUGAUUUCUCACCUUCUAAAGAACCGUAAUGCCAUUAAUUUGGUGUUACGGGGAAUUAGGACUGUUACCUUGAAAAAAUUAGAGUGUUUAAAGCAGGCUAACGCUUGAAUACAUUAGCAUGGAAUAAUGAAAUAGGACGCUCGAUCCUAUUUUGUUGGUUUCUAGGAUUGACGUAAUGAUUAAUAGGGAUAGUUGGGUGCAUUAGUAUUCAAUUGUCAGAGGUGAAAUUCUUGGAUUUAUUGAAGACUAACUACUGCGAAAGCAUUUGCCAAGGAUGUUUUCAUUAAUCAAGAACGAAAGUUAGGGGAUCGAAGACGAUCAGAUACCGUCGUAGUCUUAACCAUAAACUAUGCCGACUAGGAAUCAGACGAUGUUAAUUUUUUAAUGACUCGUUUGGCACCUUACG
Molecule: ribosomal RNA, 501 nt
Filed under: uncultured Glomeromycotina
Lineage: Eukaryota; Fungi; Glomeromycota
Description: partial small subunit ribosomal RNA
Rfam family: Eukaryotic small subunit ribosomal RNA
Source: RNAcentral